GGAGAGGCUUACCAGACAGAGCAAACGUCAGUUGAGUGAGGCUGAUAGUGUUACCUUUAAUCUCAUAGGUUUGGAUAUCAUUAAUUUGGGUUUGUACUCUGGGAUUGAUUGGGCACUGGCUGUGGGCGUGAGAGCGAGGGGAUGCAAUUCUGGCCCCAAUUAGUUGGGCUCAGCAUUGCGGUGGCACAUAUCGGGCUCUGCCUCUGCUCCUUCAGCAUGCGCAUUAGUUC
Molecule: non-coding RNA, 230 nt
Organism: Pelobates cultripes (western spadefoot toad)
Lineage: Eukaryota; Metazoa; Chordata; Amphibia; Anura; Pelobatidae
Source: the annotation of a GenBank genome assembly